GCCAUUAGUAACUGCAGGGUAGUGUAGCUUCAUAGGGCAGAGGGAGGAGAGCACCACUUAAUGGUGAAAGAAGACUCUCAUCUACGGAAAAGAAGAAAAAUGAGUGCUUUGAAACAAUUCCUGUUCAAUGAAAGCUUUACUCUUUUAAGAAAUGACCCACUGCGCAUUCAUUUAAAAUAGAGAGCUGGCAAGCUUAAGCAGGACUAGACCCUGGAAUGUAUUUAACCCAUAACUGCCAAAACAAAAGUAACUAGGUGGCACCUAGGUAAAGGCAGCAGUGAUGAUAGCAACCAGCCUCAAAAUAAGCGCCCAGUGACUAAGAGAUGCCAGAGUGAGGCUUUGAUGAGUGCAUCAGGAAGAGCCAGACAAAAGGCAGGAUUUGACUAGAAUAUUUGAAGCCCGCUGCUGCAGAAAUCCUGGAUUACAAACUCCCCUCAUGUAAACACUUAAUCUGCUAUGAUAUUUGGCA
RNAcentral lists this long non-coding RNA (469 nucleotides) under Bos taurus (domestic cattle). RNAcentral describes it as "long non-coding RNA NONBTAT008167". Lineage: Eukaryota; Metazoa; Chordata; Mammalia; Artiodactyla; Bovidae. The record is from RNAcentral.